Molecule: transfer RNA, 73 nt
Filed under: Cordylochernes scorpioides
Lineage: Eukaryota; Metazoa; Arthropoda; Arachnida; Pseudoscorpiones; Chernetidae
Description: tRNA-Gln
Source: RNAcentral
CAAUCUUUAUGGGAUUCAAACCCACAAUCUUUGGCUCCAGAGGCCAACGUCUUAUCCGUUGGGCCACAGGAUC